RNAcentral lists this ribosomal RNA (655 nucleotides) under uncultured bacterium. RNAcentral's name for it is "bacterial SSU rRNA". It matches the Rfam family "Bacterial small subunit ribosomal RNA", at positions 8 to 709 of the family's 1533-position model. The record is from RNAcentral.
AGAGUUUGAUCCUGGCUCAGGACGAACGCUGGCGGCAGGCCUAACACAUGCAAGUCGAACGCAUUCUUCGGAAUGAGUGGCGCACGGGUGAGUAACACGUGGGAACCUACCCUGAGGUACGGAAUAACCGUUGGAAACGACGGCUAAUACCGUAUAUCCCCUUUGGGGGAAAGAUUUAUCGCCUUGGGAUGGGCCCGCGGUCGAUUAGCUAGUUGGUGUGGUAAUGGCGCACCAAGGCGACGAUCGAUAGCUGGUCUGAGAGGAUGAUCAGCCACACUGGGACUGAGACACGGCCCAGACUCCUACGGGAGGCAGCAGUGGGGAAUAUUGGACAAUGGGCGCAAGCCUGAUCCAGCCAUGCCGCGUGAGUGAUGAAGGCCUUCGGGUUGUAAAGCUCUUUCAGGUGGGACGAUGAUGACGGUACCACCAGAAGAAGCCCCGGCUAACUUCGUGCCAGCAGCCGCGGUAAUACGAAGGGGGCUAGCGUUGUUCGGAUUUACUGGGCGUAAAGCGCGCGUAGGCGGUUAUGCCAGUCAGAGGUGAAAGCCCAGGGCUCAACCCUGGAACGGCCUUUGAUACUGCAUGACUUGAGUUCGGGAGAGGGGCAUGGAAUUCCCAGUGUAGAGGUGAAAUUCGUAGAUAUUGGGAAGAACAC